RNAcentral lists this ribosomal RNA (482 nucleotides) under uncultured bacterium. Its description in RNAcentral is "partial 16S ribosomal RNA". It matches the Rfam family "Bacterial small subunit ribosomal RNA", at positions 30 to 507 of the family's 1533-position model. The record is from RNAcentral.
AUUGAACGCUGGCGGCAUGCCUUACACAUGCAAGUCGAACGGUAACAGGUCUUCGGAUGCUGACGAGUGGCGAACGGGUGAGUAAUACAUCGGAACGUGCCCGAUCGUGGGGGAUAACGAGGCGAAAGCUUUGCUAAUACCGCAUACGAUCUACGGAUGAAGGCGGGGGAUCUUCGGACCUCGCGCGGACGGAGCGGCCGAUGGCAGAUUAGGUAGUUGGUGGGAUAAAAGCUUACCAAGCCGACGAUCUGUAGCUGGUCUGAGAGGAUGAUCAGCCACACUGGGGCUGAGACACGGCCCAGACUCCUACGGGAGGCAGCAGUGGGGAAUUUUGGACAAUGGGCGAAAGCCUGAUCCAGCCAUGCCGCGUGCAGGAUGAAGGCCUUUGGGUUGUAAACUGCUUUUGUACGGAACGAAAAGCCUCUUUCUAAUAAAGAGGGGUCAUGACGGUACCGUAAGAAUAAGCACCGGCUAACUACGUG